CAAAAAUUAGUUAAUUCAUAAUACUAGCUUGUCAUGCUUGAGUAAUCUUAUAGAUAUUUUUGA
Molecule: transfer RNA, 63 nt
Filed under: Pilumnopeus makianus
Lineage: Eukaryota; Metazoa; Arthropoda; Malacostraca; Decapoda; Pilumnidae
Description: tRNA-Asp
Source: RNAcentral